RNAcentral lists this ribosomal RNA (429 nucleotides) under Acidobacteriota bacterium. RNAcentral's name for it is "Acidobacteria bacterium partial 16S ribosomal RNA". It matches the Rfam family "Bacterial small subunit ribosomal RNA", at positions 355 to 776 of the family's 1533-position model. The record is from RNAcentral. Lineage: Bacteria; Pseudomonadati; Acidobacteriota.
UGGGGAAUUAUGGACAAUGGGGGAAACCCUGAUCCAGCCAUCCCGCGUGUGCGAUGAAGGCCUUCGGGUUGUAAAGCACUUUUGGCAGGAAAGAAACGUCAUGGGUUAAUACCCCGUGAAACUGACGGUACCUGCAGAAUAAGCACCGGCUAACUACGUGCCAGCAGCCGCGUGAAUACGUAGGGUGCAAGCGUUAAUCGGAAUUACUGGGCGUAAAGCGUGCGCAGGCGGUUCGGAAAGAAAGAUGUGAAAUCCCAGAGCUCAACUUUGGAACUGCAUUUUUAACUACCGGGCUAGAGUGUGUCAGAGGGAGGUGAAAUUCCGCGUGUAGCAGUGAAAUGCGUAGAUAUGCGGAGGAACACCGAUGGCGAAGGCAGCCUCCUGGGAUAACACUGACGCUCAUGCACGAAAGCGUGGGGAGCAAACAGG